RNAcentral lists this ribosomal RNA (232 nucleotides) under uncultured bacterium. RNAcentral's name for it is "partial 16S ribosomal RNA". It matches the Rfam family "Bacterial small subunit ribosomal RNA", at positions 524 to 754 of the family's 1533-position model. The record is from RNAcentral.
UACGUAGGGUGCAAGCGUUAAUCGGAAUUACUGGGCGUAAAGCGUGCGCAGGCGGCUAUGCAAGACAGAUGUGAAAUCCCCGGGCUCAACCUGGGAACUGCAUUUGUGACUGCAUAGCUAGAGUACGGUAGAGGGGGGAUGGAAUUCCGCGUGUAGCAGUGAAAUGCGUAGAUAUGCGGAGGAACACCGAUGGCGAAGGCAAUCCCCUGGACCUGUACUGACGCUCAUGCAC